Molecule: non-coding RNA, 88 nt
Organism: Trametes cingulata
Lineage: Eukaryota; Fungi; Basidiomycota; Agaricomycetes; Polyporales; Polyporaceae
Source: the annotation of a GenBank genome assembly
UCCCGUUUAGCUCAGUUGGUAGAGCGCGUCACUAGUAUCUUCACAGUGUGCUAUGACGAGGUCAGUCGUUCGAGUCGGCUAAUGGGAA